CCGGGUGUAGCCCAGUUGGCAGGGCGCGUGGUUUGGGACCACGAGGCCGCGAGUUCAAGUCUCGCCACUCGGACCA
RNAcentral lists this transfer RNA (76 nucleotides) under Clostridia bacterium. Its description in RNAcentral is "tRNA-Pro". It matches the Rfam family "tRNA". From Rfam's summary of the family: Transfer RNA (tRNA) molecules are approximately 80 nucleotides in length. Their secondary structure includes four short double-helical elements and three loops (D, anti-codon, and T loops). Further hydrogen bonds mediate the characteristic L-shaped molecular structure. tRNAs have two regions of fundamental functional importance: the anti-codon, which is responsible for specific mRNA codon recognition, and the 3' end, to which the tRNAs corresponding amino acid is attached (by aminoacyl-tRNA synthetases). tRNAs cope with the degeneracy of the genetic code in two manners: having more than one tRNA (with a specific anti-codon) for a particular amino acid; and 'wobble' base-pairing, i.e. permitting non-standard base-pairing at the 3rd anti-codon position. Lineage: Bacteria; Bacillati; Bacillota; Clostridia. The record is from RNAcentral.